UCUUAUAUAAAUUAGGCCCUUGAUUAGGAGGUAUGUUGGAAGGUCCUCCUUGGUCUUUACUGAACUGAUUUCCUGGAUGUGACCUCCAUCCUUGCCCCAGAUUUUGAUUGAAAUUUCCGCCUUGUUGGUAACCUGAAAAAUUGCCUGAAUGGAAUCCUUGUCUAUUUUGAUUCCCCAUGUAAUUUACUUCUUUUGCAACAUUAUCUUGGGG
Molecule: long non-coding RNA, 211 nt
Filed under: Glycine max (soybean)
Lineage: Eukaryota; Viridiplantae; Streptophyta; Magnoliopsida; Fabales; Fabaceae
Description: long non-coding RNA (GMAX_LNC003961)
Source: RNAcentral